CAUCUGAUACAUUCGGAGCUGCCCCGGUUCUCUGUGCUUGCCUUAUAACAUCAAUGGGGUUUGCAUCCCACCACUCACCUGAUCAUCAUUGUUAUCAAACUUCAGUGUUUCUCUUGCAGGCUUAGGGAAUGGAUAGGAUUCCCCCUUUCUCGGGCGGAUGAUAAGAGCUCCAUAAACGGUCGCCCUGAGCCACGAGCUGUGUGCAUGCCACCAUAGUGUUCCUUCCUGACCAUUGAUCGUGAAUCUGUAAGUAUAGCUCCCUCCCGGCCUAAUUGGGCACUGUGUAAUAAACUCCGGUCCAUCUGCCCAUGCUGUUCUAAUCUGCCUGACACCAUGCCUGAAUUGGCACAUAAUGAAAAGAGAAAACAAAACUUUAAGAAGUCAAUAAAUUCAUUUUCUUUAUUCGCGAAUGUGUUUACUAAUACUUUGCAUGCAUAUAUGCUCUGCUUGACAAACCUACCAGUGAAUGGUUGCAUUGUAUUUUGCUUUAUUGACAACCUUGAUCUCUAAGGUAUCACCAUUGUGAACUUCCAAGGUUGGUCCAGGGAACUUCCCAUUCACUGUUAUUGCGUUAUGGGUUUUGCACAGCCUCUUCACUGGUGUUGCUUCAAUCUGUUACACAACAACUCACAUCAGACAAAUAGAAAAGCCAAGAAACGAGAAAGGAAGCACGA
Ipomoea triloba (trilobed morning glory) is the source of this 674-nucleotide long non-coding RNA. RefSeq lists it as uncharacterized. The record is from RefSeq and is a predicted model, not a curated record. NCBI's taxonomy places the organism in Eukaryota, Viridiplantae, Streptophyta, Magnoliopsida, Solanales, Convolvulaceae. The transcript is spliced from 2 exons.